GUCCCAGCUGUAAACGGUGCAUAUUUGCUGUAAAAGGAUUCGACCCCUUUUGUGGCGAAGCUAACGCGAUAAAUAUGCCGCCUGGGAAGUACGGUCGCAAGAUUAAAACUCAAAGAAAUUGACGGGGGCCUGCACAAGCGGUGGAGUAUGUGGCUUAAUUCGAUGCAACGCGAAGAACCUUACCUGGCCUUGACAUGCGUGUAGUAGGAGGAUGAAAGUCCGACGAGGUAGCAAUACCAGCGCGCACAGGUGCUGCAUGGCUGUCGU
RNAcentral lists this ribosomal RNA (267 nucleotides) under uncultured bacterium. RNAcentral describes it as "partial 16S ribosomal RNA". It matches the Rfam family "Bacterial small subunit ribosomal RNA", at positions 793 to 1055 of the family's 1533-position model. The record is from RNAcentral.